CAGGAAGCGAUUCUUGACACCUACAAGCAUGCCCUUGGGAUGCUCGCUUGAUGGCAUCACCCUGGAUGAAGUUCUAUCCGUCUGACUGGCGCGCAGACCCAAUGCUGCGGCUCUGCUCGAUGGCUGCACGCGGCUUGUGGGUUGAGAUGCUUUGCAUCAUGCAUGAGGCGACGCCCUACGGCACGCUUCUGGUGAACGGGCGUCGUUUGGAUAAGAAGCAACUGGCCGCGCUCGUUGGAAUCCCCGAGCGGGACUGCACGGCACUACUCCUCGAACUAGAAGGAGGGGGCGUGUUCAGUCGCGAAGAGGAUGGUACGAUUUUUUCGCGCCGUAUGCGCCGGGAUGCAGAGAAGGCGUUGAAGGAUAAGGAAAACGGC
This 377-nucleotide unclassified non-coding RNA is filed under the name Hevea brasiliensis (rubber tree). Lineage: Eukaryota; Viridiplantae; Streptophyta; Magnoliopsida; Malpighiales; Euphorbiaceae. The record is from RNAcentral.